RNAcentral lists this transfer RNA (64 nucleotides) under Aoria nigripes. Its description in RNAcentral is "tRNA-Pro". Lineage: Eukaryota; Metazoa; Arthropoda; Insecta; Coleoptera; Chrysomelidae. The record is from RNAcentral.
CAGAAAAUAGUUUAAAAAAAAUAUUAAUUUUGGAGAUUAGGGAUAAGAGGUUUCUUUUUUCUGA